CGGGGGGGGCGGCUACACAUGCAAGUCGAGCGGUAGCACAGAGAGCUUGCUCUCGGGUGACGAGCGGCGGACGGGUGAGUAAUGUCUGGGAAACUGCCUGAUGGAGGGGGAUAACUACUGGAAACGGUAGCUAAUACCGCAUAAUGUCGCAAGACCAAAGUGGGGGACCUUCGGGCCUCAUGCCAUCAGAUGUGCCCAGAUGGGAUUAGCUAGUAGGUGGGGUAACGGCUCACCUAGGCGACGAUCCCUAGCUGGUCUGAGAGGAUGACCAGCCACACUGGAACUGAGACACGGUCCAGACUCCUACGGGAGGCAGCAGUGGGGAAUAUUGCACAAUGGGCGCAAGCCUGAUGCAGCCAUGCCGCGUGUGUGAAGAAGGCCUUCGGGUUGUAAAGCACUUUCAGCGGGGAGGAAGGCGUUAAGGUUAAUAACCUUGGCGAUUGACGUUACCCGCAGAAGAAGCACCGGCUAACUCCGUGCCAGCAGCCGCGGUAAUACGGAGGGUGCAAGCGUUAAUCGGAAUUACUGGGCGUAAAGCGCACGCAGGCGGUCUGUCAAGUCGGAUGUGAAAUCCCCGGGCUCAACCUGGGAACUGCAUUCGAAACUGGCAGGCUAGAGUCUUGUAGAGGGGGGUAGAAUUCCAGGUGUAGCGGUGAAAUGCGUAGAGAUCUGGAGGAAUACCGGUGGCGAAGGCGGCCCCCUGGACAAAGACUGACGCUCAGGUGCGAAAGCGUGGGGAGCAAACAGGAUUAGAUACCCUGGUAGUCCACGCCGUAAACGAUGUCGAUUUGGAGGUUGUGCCCUUGAGGCGUGGCUUCCGGAGCUAACGCGUUAAAUCGACCGCCUGGGGAGUACGGCCGCAAGGUUAAAACUCAAAUGAAUUGACGGGGGCCCGCACAAGCGGUGGAGCAUGUGGUUUAAUUCGAUGCAACGCGAAGAACCUUACCUGGUCUUGACAUCCACAGAACUUUCCAGAGAUGGAUUGGUGCCUUCGGGAACUGUGAGACAGGUGCUGCAUGGCUGUCGUCAGCUCGUGUUGUGAAAUGUUGGGUUAAGUCCCGCAACGAGCGCAACCCUUAUCCUUUGUUGCCAGCGGUCCGGCCGGGAACUCAAAGGAGACUGCCAGUGAUAAACUGGAGGAAGGUGGGGAUGACGUCAAGUCAUCAUGGCCCUUACGACCAGGGCUACACACGUGCUACAAUGGCAUAUACAAAGAGAAGCGACCUCGCGAGAGCAAGCGGACCUCAUAAAGUAUGUCGUAGUCCGGAUUGGAGUCUGCAACUCGACUCCAUGAAGUCGGAAUCGCUAGUAAUCGUAGAUCAGAAUGCUACGGUGAAUACGUUCCCGGGCCUUGUACACACCGCCCGUCACACCAUGGGAGUGGGUUGCAAAAGAAGUAGGUAGCUUAACCUUCGGGAGGGCGCUUACCACUUUGGAUUCCCU
This 1443-nucleotide ribosomal RNA is filed under the name Klebsiella pneumoniae. RNAcentral describes it as "bacterial SSU rRNA". It matches the Rfam family "Bacterial small subunit ribosomal RNA". The record is from RNAcentral. Lineage: Bacteria; Pseudomonadati; Pseudomonadota; Gammaproteobacteria; Enterobacterales; Enterobacteriaceae.